ACAAACUCAAUGAAAAAGAGAGUAGUUUAAAUGAGUAUGAAGCGAGCUAACGUUGGUGUGAGGUUAGUAUACAAGUUUAAAUGAACCGCACUUUGGAGAGCAAUAUCUGAAAUCAGUAGGAUAUUGAGUAGGUCUGCUUUAAAGACAAGAGGGGAUAUAUCUUUGGAUAUAUCAACAAGAGUGGUACCGCGGAAUCUUUCGUCUCUUAG
RNAcentral lists this non-coding RNA (209 nucleotides) under Candidatus Stoquefichus. Its description in RNAcentral is "T-box sequence". It matches the Rfam family "T-box leader". Rfam says of the family: Uncharged tRNA acts as the effector for transcription antitermination of genes in the T-box leader family. The record is from RNAcentral. Lineage: Bacteria; Bacillati; Bacillota; Erysipelotrichia; Erysipelotrichales; Erysipelotrichaceae.